This 103-nucleotide small nuclear RNA is filed under the name Carlito syrichta (Philippine tarsier). Lineage: Eukaryota; Metazoa; Chordata; Mammalia; Primates; Tarsiidae. The record is from RNAcentral.
UCCUGUUGGCUAGUGCUUAAUGAAACUGUUCCAUAUAUGGAGAAGAUUAGUAUGGCCUCUGCCCAAGGAUGAGAGGGAAAUUUUUGAAGUGUUCCAUAUUAAA